Molecule: ribosomal RNA, 306 nt
Filed under: uncultured bacterium
Lineage: Bacteria
Description: bacterial SSU rRNA
Rfam family: Bacterial small subunit ribosomal RNA
Source: RNAcentral
ACGAACGCUGGCGGCGUGGAUAAGACAUGCAAGUCGAACGGAAUUACUUUUGUAGCAAUACAGAAGUAAUUCAGUGGCGAACGGGUGCGUAACACGUGGGCAAUCUGCCGAAAAGUGGGGGAUAGCUCGCCGAAAGGCGAAUUAAUACCGCAUGUGGUGAGGGACGACAUCUUCCUGAAUCCAAAGCCGGGGCAACCUGGCGCUUUUUGUAGGAGCCCGCCGGCCUAUCAGCNGUUGGCGGGGUAACGGCCCACCAAGGCUAUGACGGGUAGCUGGUCUGAGAGGACGACCAGUCACACUGGAACU